AUUGAACGCUGGCGGCAGGCCUAACACAUGCAAGUCGAACGCUGUAGCAAUACAGAGUGGCAGACGGGUGAGUAACGCGUGGGAACCUACCCUUUGGUUCGGAAUAGCUCAGGGAAACUUGAGGUAAUACCGGAUAGGCCCUUCGGGGGAAAGAUUUAUCGCCAAAGGAUGGGCCCGCGUCGGCUUAGCUAGUUGGGGGGGUAACGGCCUACCAAGGCGACGAUCCGUAGCUGGUCUGAGAGGAUGAUCAGCCACACUGGGACUGAGACACGGCCCAGACUCCUACGGGAGGCAGCAGUGGGGAAUAUUGGACAAUGGGGGCAACCCUGAUCCAGCCAUGCCGCGUGAGUGACGAAGGUCUUCGGAUCGUAAAGCUCUUUUGGCGGGGAAGAUAAUGACGGUACCCGCAGAAUAAGCCCCGGCUAACUUCGUGCCAGCCGCCGCAGUAA
Molecule: ribosomal RNA, 449 nt
Filed under: uncultured bacterium
Lineage: Bacteria
Description: partial 16S ribosomal RNA
Rfam family: Bacterial small subunit ribosomal RNA
Source: RNAcentral